CUCCUUAAUUAACGAGACUUGUGUACAUACACAUGCAUUUCGGUCAAGGCAAAAAAUUUCAUGAUCUAAGCAAAAUUAAACCCGGUGUACAAAAAUUGUUCUAGCGAUGCAAUGCUACUUAGAUGAGUUCAGUUGUGCAAAUAACAUUAAUCAAUUUGAGGUAGUGACUAGUGAUAAUUAAAUCUUCUCACAUCCUUUAUAACUUUGGCAUGUGUUCUUGGUAAGAUGAAUCUCGAGGGUUAAACCCAUGAGGUUGCAUUUUUAUGGGGAGGAAAUUGUAGCCGACUAUAUCCUCCAUGGUAAGAUAAUUCCCCAAAGUUAAUCCAUUAAGGUUGCAUUUGAUGGGGAGAAAAUUAAGGUUGGCUUUUUUUGUUGGACAGGUCCUGGUAAUAAGGUUGGUUGAAUUGCUUCUGACCUAUGGACAUCGUUGGUCAUUGUGCCUACCAUUCAAAUCUAAUCAACCAUUCGAUUUUGAGAAAGAUAACGACUGUACCUUAGAUUAAACCACGGUCUAUGCUCGUCUACUGAAAGUUGAGCUAUCGUUUUCUUGUUCGAGUAGAAGAUGUAGCAUUAAAUUGUUACUACAUUGGAACCACGUUGAAUGUGACAUGCAAACAAUUAGGGACAACAACUGCUCUAAUUGUAAUCCUUUUGUCGGUUCGUCGUUGGUUGAGAGUUGGAUUCUAAUAUGGAAGGAGGCAUAAAAUCAUAUAUAAUUAUUAAUAUUAGAUUUAUAAAAUAGACCAUAUAGAAAAACUAAAUUCAU
Molecule: small RNA, 766 nt
Filed under: Arabidopsis thaliana (thale cress)
Lineage: Eukaryota; Viridiplantae; Streptophyta; Magnoliopsida; Brassicales; Brassicaceae
Description: ATSL192940
Source: RNAcentral